AGCGUAGACGGCACGGCAAGCCAGAUGUGAAAGCUCGGGGCUCAACCCCGGGACUGCAUUUGGAACUGCUGAGCUAGAGUGUCGGAGAGGCAAGUGGAAUUCCUAGUGUAGCGGUGAAAUGCGUAGAUAUUAGGAGGAACACCAGUGGCGAAGGCGGCUUGCUGGACGAUGACUGACGUUGAGGCUCGAAAGGCUGGGAGCAAACA
RNAcentral lists this ribosomal RNA (206 nucleotides) under uncultured bacterium. RNAcentral describes it as "partial 16S ribosomal RNA". It matches the Rfam family "Bacterial small subunit ribosomal RNA", at positions 568 to 774 of the family's 1533-position model. The record is from RNAcentral.